RNAcentral lists this long non-coding RNA (753 nucleotides) under Phoenix dactylifera (date palm). RNAcentral describes it as "long non-coding RNA (PDAC_LNC018603)". The record is from RNAcentral. Lineage: Eukaryota; Viridiplantae; Streptophyta; Magnoliopsida; Arecales; Arecaceae.
AAAACCGGGCUACUACUGUUCUUUGAAGCCAUCAUAAUGAAAAUAGGAGGGAUCAGCACAAAUGAUUUGGCGACAAUUCUUGGAGCUCAAGCUCUGUUAUAACAAAGUCAGACGAAGAGUGCAGAAUCAGAGGCACAUCAGCAAAAUAUCUCUGUUAAAACAAAGUUAGAGGCACACCUGAUCUUAAUUCCCCACACCCUAAGGCAAAACGGAAGAAGAUGGCACACUGGAGCAGAACAAGGCAUUCAUAAACAAAGAAAACAGUUAAGUUAAUUCCCCACACCCUAUGGCAAAACGAAACAAGAUGGAAAACAGUUAAGUUAAUUCCCCACACCUUCUCCCGCCUUCAAACCAAAAAGCCUUCCGUUGGCCCCCCGAUAAGCAUACAGUCCGUUGAAAGAACAGAGGACUAUGCUUGUGUCGCUCCAAAGAACAGAGGUCUUGCUCUAAAAAGCCUUCCGUUGGCCUCCCGAUAAGCAUACAGUCCGUUGAAAGAACAGAGGACUAUGCUUGUGUCGCUCCAAAGAACAGAGGUCUUGCUCUAAAAAGCCUUCCGUUGGCUGGGCCGAUAAGCAUACAGUCCGUUGGAACCUCACAGAACAGAAAACUAUGCUUGUGGAGCUCCAAAGAACAGAGGACAUCAAACCAAAAAGCCUUCGUUGGCCCUCGACUGCCCUACAGUCCGUUGGAACCUCAAAGAACAGAGCAGAAUGCUUGUGGAGCUCCAAAGUCUUCUCUGGAAUUCCAACGGUC